GAUGAACGCUGGCGGCGUGCCUAAUACAUGCAAGUCGAGCGAACGGACGAGAAGCUUGCUUCUCUGAUGUUAGCGGCGGACGGGUGAGUAACACGUGGAUAACCUACCUAUAAGACUGGGAUAACUUCGGGAAACCGGAGCUAAUACCGGAUGAUAUUUUGAACCGCAUGGUUCAAAAGUGAAAGACGGUCUUGCUGUCACUUAUAGAUGGAUCCGCGCUGCAUUAGCUAGUUGGUAAGGUAACGGCUUACCAAGGCAACGAUGCAUAGCCGACCUGAGAGGGUGAUCGGCCACACUGGAACUGAGACACGGUCCAGACUCCUACGGGAGGCAUCAGUAGGGAAUCUUCCGCAAUGGGCGAAAGCCUGACGGAGCAACGCCGCGUGAGUGAUGAAGGUCUUCGGAUCGUAAAACUCUGUUAUUAGGGAAGAACAUAUGUGUAAGUAACUGUGCACAUCUUGACGGUACCUAAUCAGAAGGCCACGGCUAACUACGUG
Molecule: ribosomal RNA, 497 nt
Filed under: uncultured bacterium
Lineage: Bacteria
Description: partial 16S ribosomal RNA
Rfam family: Bacterial small subunit ribosomal RNA
Source: RNAcentral